GUAGAACUUCUUGCUUUUUCUGACUUCAUUGCUGGAGCACCCGCAUCUACAGAUGCUACUUGUCUUGAUGAUUCACCUGAUGAUUUCAAACAUGAAGCAUCAAUAACAUUGAAAGUCAAAGAACCAACAGUAGCCUGAUCUACAAAGGUAGCAUUAUUUGGAUGUUUAUCUUUCCAGGGAAAACCACCAUUCUUACUACUAUCGCUGCAGUUUGAGGAUCGUCUUUAAUGGCAAUACCUGGUGAUUUCAAACAUGAAGCAUCAAUAACAUUGAAAGUCAAAGAACCAACAGUAGCCUGAUCUACAAAGGUGGCAUUAUUUGGAUGUUUAUCUUUCCAGGGAAAACCACCAUUCUUGCUACUAUCGCUGCAGUUUGAGGUUUCGUCUUUAAUGGCAAUACCACCAAUAUCAGCUGCAAGAUUCUUUUCCUCCACACCAUUUUGAUCAGUCGGUAACCCAACCUAAACCAGAAACCAUAUAUUUAACUAUUCUUACAAAAAAAUGAUAAUAUCCGGCACUCAAGUUUAUAUCGGGAGUAAAAAAGAACAACACAUCUUAUUCUUGAUACAUUACGUCAAUACACCAAAUGAAAAGGUGUACUUUAAGGUCA
RNAcentral lists this long non-coding RNA (609 nucleotides) under Gossypium barbadense (sea-island cotton). RNAcentral describes it as "long non-coding RNA (GBAR_LNC021747)". The record is from RNAcentral. Lineage: Eukaryota; Viridiplantae; Streptophyta; Magnoliopsida; Malvales; Malvaceae.